GACGAACGCUGGCGGCGUGCUUAACACAUGCAAGUCGAGCGAUGAACCUUUCAUGAAUUUUUCGGAAUGAUUGGAAGAGGAUUAGCGGCGGACGGGUGAGUAACGCGUGAGCAACCUGCCUUAAACAACGGGAUAGCCUCGGGAAACCGGGAUUAAUACCGUAUGAGACCCCGCCUUCACAUGAAGAAGAGGUUAAAGAUUUAUCGGUUUAAGAUGGGCUCGCGUCUGAUUAGCUAGUUGGUGAGAUAAAAGCCCACCAAGGCAACGAUCAGUAACCGGCUUGAGAGAGUGAACGGUCACAUUGGAACUGAGUCCCGGUCCAAAAUCCUACGGGAGGCAGCAGUGGGGAAUAUUGCACAAUGGGGGAAACCCUGAUGCAGCGACGCCGCGUGAGCGAUGAAGGAAUUCGUUUCGUAAAGCUCUGUCCAAGGGGAAGAUAAUGACAGUACCCUUGGAGGAAGCCCCGGCUAAAUACGUGCCAGCAGCCGCGGUAA
Molecule: ribosomal RNA, 494 nt
Filed under: uncultured bacterium
Lineage: Bacteria
Description: partial 16S ribosomal RNA
Rfam family: Bacterial small subunit ribosomal RNA
Source: RNAcentral